CAAAAAGGAAAAACUUAUUUUUAUUUUGUCAUUUUGUAAUUUAAAAAAUUACACUUAAUAUUUUGUGAUUUAUCUUAUUUUUUAUUAUGUCACCCAGUUAUUCAAAAAGCUAUACUUAACUACUGCAUAGUUAUAAAAAAAUUUUCACUUUGCAAUCCUAUUUGGUAGUAGAUUUUUUUAGUUAAAAAUAGAGAUUAAAUUACAUAAUAAUUGUGUGCACCUUUUUUAA
Molecule: long non-coding RNA, 229 nt
Filed under: Ananas comosus (pineapple)
Lineage: Eukaryota; Viridiplantae; Streptophyta; Magnoliopsida; Poales; Bromeliaceae
Description: long non-coding RNA (ACOM_LNC022836)
Source: RNAcentral